AGAUUGAACGCUGGCGGCAGGCCUAACACAUGCAAGUCGAGCGGUAGAGAGGUGCUUGCACCUCUUGAGAGCGGCGGACGGGUGAGUAAUGCCUAGGAAUCUGCCUAGUGGUGGGGGAUAACGUUCGGAAACGGACGCUAAUACCGCAUACGUCCUACGGGAGAAAGCGGGGGACCUUCGGGCCUCGCGCCAUUAGAUGAGCCUAGGUCGGAUUAGCUAGUUGGUGAGGUAAUGGCUCACCAAGGCGACGAUCCGUAACUGGUCUGAGAGGAUGAUCAGUCACACUGGAACUGAGACACGGUCCAGACUCAUACGGAGCAGCAGUGGGAAUAUUGGACAAUGGGCGAAAGCCUGAUCCAGCCAUGCCGCGUGUGUGAAGAAGGUCUUCGGAUUGUAAAGCACUUUAAGUUGGAGAAGGUUGUAACUUAAUACGUUGCAGCUUUGACGUUACGACAGAAUAAGCACGGCUAACUUCGUGCCAG
This 482-nucleotide ribosomal RNA is filed under the name uncultured soil bacterium. RNAcentral describes it as "bacterial SSU rRNA". It matches the Rfam family "Bacterial small subunit ribosomal RNA", at positions 26 to 511 of the family's 1533-position model. The record is from RNAcentral.